Molecule: transfer RNA, 74 nt
Filed under: compost metagenome
Description: tRNA-Ile
Rfam family: tRNA
About the family: Transfer RNA (tRNA) molecules are approximately 80 nucleotides in length.
Source: RNAcentral
UGUCUCUUAGCUUAGUUGGUAAAGCACACCCCUGAUAAGGGUGAGAGCACUGGUUCGAGUCCAGUAGAGACAAC